Non-coding RNA from Pelobates cultripes (western spadefoot toad), 652 nucleotides. NCBI's taxonomy places the organism in Eukaryota, Metazoa, Chordata, Amphibia, Anura, Pelobatidae. The record is from the annotation of a GenBank genome assembly.
CUCACAGGUGCUCCACUGGUCUAGACUGUUCCGAGACUUGGCACCAGCAGAACACCCAAAUUUGAUAACACCCCCCAGGCCAUUGCGGACUUGCCAUGACAACGCUACAUAUGAAGAAAAGAGCUCCUGUUGGUUUAAGGUUCAGUUAACCAUGAAUAGAUCCCAGUGGUCUACCUCACAAUAUAUAGUUCACACUUGCAAAACAUGAAACCUUACAUGUCUAGAUAACCCAGCGAUGUAACCUUCAGCUAAGUGAUAGAUCUAGCUAAACCCUGCAAAGCACAAACCUUGCAGGUCUAGAUAACCCUGCGAUGUUAAUUUCAGUUAUGUGACAAUUCUUGCUAAAACCCUGCAAAGCCUACACCUUGCAUGUCUAGAUAACCCUGGGAUGUUAUUUUUAGCUAGGGAACAGAUCUAGCUACACCAUGCAAAGCAUAAACCUUACAUAUCCGUAUAACUCAGCGAUGUUAAUUUCGGAUAAGUGACAGAACUAGCGAGAAGACCCUUUAUUGUUUAUUCAUCAAUCUACCCUUACAGAUAAAAUUUGUGCUUGAUUUCACAUGUACCUCUAUGUUCAAAUGUCAAUACCGCGUUGGAGGAAUGCCUUUGGGGUACCUCACAACUGUUUGUUAUUAGCUUAUGCACUCCAAAA